UCUGCACAUCUUUGCAUUCAAUGUCAAAUUUGUUCAAAAUUCUAAGAAGAUGAAUUUUGAACAAAUUUGACAUUGAAUGCAAAGAUACUCUA
RNAcentral lists this microRNA precursor (92 nucleotides) under Anopheles merus. RNAcentral describes it as "microRNA mir-233". Lineage: Eukaryota; Metazoa; Arthropoda; Insecta; Diptera; Culicidae. The record is from RNAcentral.